RNAcentral lists this ribosomal RNA (931 nucleotides) under Stropharia sp. RNAcentral describes it as "partial large subunit ribosomal RNA". It matches the Rfam family "Eukaryotic large subunit ribosomal RNA", at positions 43 to 959 of the family's 3401-position model. The record is from RNAcentral. Lineage: Eukaryota; Fungi; Basidiomycota; Agaricomycetes; Agaricales; Strophariaceae.
UCAAUAAGCGGAGGAAAAGAAACUAACAAGGAUUCCCCUAGUAACUGCGAGUGAAGCGGGAAAAGCUCAAAUUUAAAAUCUGGCAGUCUUUGAUUGUCCGAGUUGUAAUCUAGAGAAGUGUUAUCCGCGCUGGACCGUGUACAAGUCUCCUGGAAUGGAGCGUCAUAGAGGGUGAGAAUCCCGUCUUUGACACGGACUACCAGUGCUUUGUGAUGCGCUCUCAAAGAGUCGAGUUGUUUGGGAAUGCAGCUCAAAAUGGGUGGUAAAUUCCAUCUAAAGCUAAAUAUUGGCGAGAGACCGAUAGCGAACAAGUACCGUGAGGGAAAGAUGAAAAGAACUUUGGAAAGAGAGUUAAACAGUACGUGAAAUUGCUGAAAGGGAAACGCUUAAAGUCAGUCGCAUUGUCUGAGAAUCAACCUUGCUUUUGCUGGGUGUACUUUUCAGAUAAUGGGUCAACAUCAAUUUUGACCGUUGGAUAAAGUCUAAGGGAAUGUGGCAUCUUCGGAUGUGUUAUAGCUUUUAGUCGCAUACAACGGUUGGGAUUGAGGAACUCAGCACGCCGCAAGGCCGGGUACUUGUACCACGUUCGUGCUUAGGAUGUUGGCAUAAUGGCUUUAAUCGACCCGUCUUGAAACACGGACCAAGGAGUCUAACAUGCCUGCGAGUAUUUGGGUGGAAAACCCGAGUGCGUAAUGAAAGUGAAAGUUGAGAUCCCUGUCAUGGGGAGCAUCGACGCCCGGACCAGACCUUUUGUGACGGAUCUGCGGUAGAGCAUGUAUGUUGGGACCCGAAAGAUGGUGAACUAUGCCUGAAUAGGGUGAAGCCAGAGGAAACUCUGGUGGAGGCUCGUAGCGAUUCUGACGUGCAAAUCGAUCGUCAAAUUUGGGUAUAGGGGCGAAAGACUAAUCGAACCAUCUAGUAGCUGGUCCUG